CAUCAGCGACAGAUCUUUCUGUAGCAGAGCUUUAGGAGACCUUGCAGCCCAUCAACGGGUUGGCAGCACGACGGUAAAUAAAGCUUGCCUUUGCAAGUUAGCACUCAGCUAGCAACACGAUCGAAUUGUCGGGGACCUCCUAAAGCCUACAACACCAACCUAUAGGGGAAACCCUCUAGGGGCCUAUGCUAAUAACAUAGGGUGGUAAUAGUAUGUAGGAUGAUGCUAAGGCUUGCCUAGCAGAAGUGGACAACCCGCAGCGAAGACCCUACCGGCGUAAGCCUACGGGGAACGUUCACAGACUAAGUGGUUGUGGGUAGACUUUUCAAUAUUUCUAUCUAAGAUAUAGUCGGGCCCUAUAGGAAACUAUAGGGGGUUUCUGCUGAAACAACUAGUCCGUAGGUGAACCUGCGGAAGGAUCAUUACAGAGUUCAUGCCUUCACGGGUAGAUCUCCCACCCUUGUAUAUCUAUCUUAGUUGCUUUAGCGGGUCACAGGCUGUAGCCUGUUCUAGCUUUUGCUAGGAGUGCCCGCUAGAGUCCUCUAAACUCUGAAUGUUAGUGUUGUCCGAGUAUUAUAUAAUAGUUAAAACUUUCAACAACGGAUCUCUUGGUUCUGGCAUCGAUGAAGAACGCAGCGAAAUGCGAUAAGUAAUGUGAAUUGCAGAAUUCAGUGAAUCAUCGAAUCUUUGAACGCACAUUGCGCCCCUUGGUAUUCCGAGGGGCAUGCCUGUUCGAGCGUCAUAAUAGCCAAUCUAGCUCAGCUAGGUCUUGGGCUUCGCCGUCUGGCGGGCUUUAAAACCAGUGGCGGUGCUGCCAGGCUCUAAGCGUAGUAAAUCUCUCGCUAUAGGGUCCUGGUGGACGCUAGCCAGCAACCCCUAAAUAUUUCAGGUGACCUCGGAUCAGG
This 905-nucleotide small RNA is filed under the name Lasiobelonium lonicerae. RNAcentral describes it as "eukaryotic LSU rRNA". The stretch from base 589 to 742 matches the Rfam family "5.8S ribosomal RNA". Lineage: Eukaryota; Fungi; Ascomycota; Leotiomycetes; Helotiales; Tricladiaceae. The record is from RNAcentral.